Catharus ustulatus (Swainson's thrush) is the source of this 624-nucleotide long non-coding RNA. RefSeq lists it as uncharacterized. The transcript is spliced from 7 exons. NCBI's taxonomy places the organism in Eukaryota, Metazoa, Chordata, Aves, Passeriformes, Turdidae. The record is from RefSeq and is a predicted model, not a curated record.
ACGCAGGUGACAGCCCAUCCGCCCGGCACACUUCGCCAGAAGCCGGGCGGCAGCGGGACGAAUUUCUGCCCCAACUUCGGAAGGACUGAUGCCCUCCCAGGCCUGCUAUUGUCAGUGCUGUUAUACAAGUGGGAGCUACUGAAAGGCCAUUCUGUACUCUGCAGCAGAGCAGAGAAAGCCCUACCUUCUGUCUGCCUUGUUUCAAGAACUCUGAGUCACUGGAAACUAAGAAGAAAUAACACAACUUUAUCCUCUGCUUGAAAAGAUGGCCAGAAAUGUAAAGCUGCUCCUUGAACUGCUCCUGGAUGAAUAGGUUGCAGGUAGCUCUCUGCAAGGCUGGCCCUGGGAACAGAUGAGUGCAUUCAUUGCAGGGACCUUUGCAUUGAAACUGAACCCAGCGGAUCUCCGUGGCACUGGGCUGCAAAGGCAGGUUCCAAAGAAUGUUUGCUGAGUGAAGAUGUGUGGAAAGCUUCUGGAAACUUAUCCAAUCCUGAAUUCAGCAAUGUGUCAGUUAUGGAGUUGGUAAUUUUCUGAAAGCAUUAUCUUCCUGACUGGGCUCAGAUGGUGUUGGUAUGGACGGUGAUGCCACAGGUGAAGAUGCAAUGUUGACAGUACUUUCCACAA